Molecule: ribosomal RNA, 368 nt
Filed under: uncultured organism
Description: bacterial SSU rRNA
Rfam family: Bacterial small subunit ribosomal RNA
Source: RNAcentral
CGGAGGGUGCAAGCGUUAUCCGGAUUCACUGGGUUUAAAGGGUGCGUAGGUGGGCUAGUAAGUCCGUGGUGAAAUCUCCAAGCUUAACUUGGAAACUGCCGUGGAUACUAUUAGUCUCGAAUCUCAUGGAGGUAAGCGGAAUAUGUCAUGUAGCGGUGAAAUGCUUAGAUAUGACAUAGAACACCGAUAGCGAAGGCAGCUUGCUACACGAGUAUUGACACUGAGGCACGAAAGCGUGGGGAUCAAACAGGAUUAGAUACCCUGGUAGUCCACGCCCUAAACGAUGGAUACUCGACAUACGCGAUACACAGUGUGUGUCUGAGCGAAAGCAUUAAGUAUCCCACCUGGGAAGUACGACCGCAAGGUUG